Onychostoma macrolepis is the source of this 368-nucleotide long non-coding RNA. RefSeq lists it as uncharacterized. The transcript is spliced from 2 exons. Lineage: Eukaryota; Metazoa; Chordata; Actinopteri; Cypriniformes; Cyprinidae. The record is from RefSeq and is a predicted model, not a curated record.
CAAGGACUGCGUAUUAAAAACUAAAACCUCUAGGCUUUCUAUAGACUAAGUCUAAGAAUAACAAUACAAAGACACUAUUUAUUCUAAAUCAUGCCCAGACAACUAUAAUUGUGACAUACGACUGAACAGAAGCAUAAAGUGAAACAGAGAGGAAAAAGACAAGGAGACGCCAAACCACACGACACAGCGCAAGCUUAAAUAUUUCAUUUGGCUUCUCACAACGAGUGGAAAGACUUGGAAUUUGCCGGAGCGCUGAUCCUGGAGGCACAUCAAACAUGGCCGCUGUCAUCUGUCUCAACGUCCACUUGUGUUUGUUUAGCUGUUUGCAUCAAACUAAAUAAAAGUGACCUAGAGGAUUACAGCAGAAA